GUAUGCCUGGCUCCCUGUAUGCCAUCCUCUAAGCUCAUCGACCAUUGAUGACCUCCGUGAAUGGCGUAUGAGGAGCCAUGCAUAU
Brassica napus (rape) is the source of this 85-nucleotide non-coding RNA. The record is from Rfam. Lineage: Eukaryota; Viridiplantae; Streptophyta; Magnoliopsida; Brassicales; Brassicaceae.